UCCGGAGUAGCUCAGCGGUAGAGCAGUCGGCUGUUAACCGACGGGUCGGGGGUUCGAAUCCCUCCUCCGGAGCCA
Molecule: transfer RNA, 75 nt
Filed under: Geminicoccaceae bacterium
Lineage: Bacteria; Pseudomonadati; Pseudomonadota; Alphaproteobacteria; Geminicoccales; Geminicoccaceae
Description: tRNA-Asn
Rfam family: tRNA
About the family: Transfer RNA (tRNA) molecules are approximately 80 nucleotides in length. Their secondary structure includes four short double-helical elements and three loops (D, anti-codon, and T loops). Further hydrogen bonds mediate the characteristic L-shaped molecular structure. tRNAs have two regions of fundamental functional importance: the anti-codon, which is responsible for specific mRNA codon recognition, and the 3' end, to which the tRNAs corresponding amino acid is attached (by aminoacyl-tRNA synthetases). tRNAs cope with the degeneracy of the genetic code in two manners: having more than one tRNA (with a specific anti-codon) for a particular amino acid; and 'wobble' base-pairing, i.e. permitting non-standard base-pairing at the 3rd anti-codon position.
Source: RNAcentral